RNAcentral lists this long non-coding RNA (638 nucleotides) under Rhinopithecus bieti (black snub-nosed monkey). Its description in RNAcentral is "lncRNA (ENSRBIG00000046372.1)". The record is from RNAcentral. Lineage: Eukaryota; Metazoa; Chordata; Mammalia; Primates; Cercopithecidae.
UCAGGGUUUAUCUUGUAUCAUUAAUAGUGAGCAUUUGCCUUGCCUAUUAUAUCUAAUUCUGAGUUCUGUGGGUUAAGGUAACGUCAAGCAUUUGGAAUGGAUUCAGAUAAGGGCCAGCCUGGCUGGUGCCAGAGCAGGGCACAGAGCCUGUUUCCUACCGAUCCUGGAUCCUGACAGUGUGACUCCACGUGUGGCUUCUCCCUGCCACGGUCAUAGAGUUGAUCCUGUCUCAGUUUACGUACAGCGAGAAGGAUUCAUUCCAGUGUAUGAGUCACUUCUUCCUGAAAUCACGUGGGGUUUUCUAACAUAUCUUUGGAAGGUGAUGUCCUGCGUUGUAUGCUCCAGCAGAGAGGGGAGUCCCUCUGUUACAGCCCAGCUAUGCUGUAUUCUGUAUCACUACAAUACUGUUGACUGGAAGUGAAAACAACGGAUAUAAAUGAUGCCACUCACUCUGAGGAUCAAGGCUUUAGAAACCCUGCUUUCCUUCAAGGCUGUCUUCUUUCUGAUUGCUUAUUUUGUAAGAGUUUUAUUUAUAAAAAAUAUUCUGUGUAUGCGCCAACAGCCCAUGGAAAUAAAGCAAACGACCCUGAGAAAGAGGUAAACAAGUUGUUUACAGUGCUGGGCAGCAGGGCUCCGGG